UGGAAGAACUGGUUCCGAAAACAUGCCAAAA
This 31-nucleotide non-coding RNA is filed under the name Homo sapiens (human). The record is from RNAcentral. Lineage: Eukaryota; Metazoa; Chordata; Mammalia; Primates; Hominidae.